GGGGGACAACGUUUCGAAAGGAACGCUAAUACCGCAUACGUCCUACGGGAGAAAGCAGGGGACCUUCGGGCCUUGCGCUAUCAGAUGAGCCUAGGUCGGAUUAGCUAGUUGGUGGGGUAAUGGCUCACCAAGGCGACGAUCCGUAACUGGUCUGAGAGGAUGAUCAGUCACACUGGAACUGAGACACGGUCCAGACUCCUACGGGAGGCAGCAGUGGGGAAUAUUGGACAAUGGGCGAAAGCCUGAUCCAGCCAUGCCGCGUGUGUGAAGAAGGUCUUCGGAUUGUAAAGCACUUUAAGUUGGGAGGAAGGGCAGUAAGUUAAUACCUUGCUGCUUUGACGUUACCGACAGAAUAAGCACCGGCUAACUCUGUGCCAGCAGCCGCGGUAAUACAGAGGGUGCAAGCGUUAAUCGGAAUUACUGGGCGUAAAGCGCGCGUAGGUGGUUUGUUAAGUUGGAUGUGAAAGCCCCGGGCUCAACCUGGGAACUGCAUCCAAAACUGGCAAGCUAGAGUACGGUAGAGGGUGGUGGAAUUUCCUGUGUAGCGGUGAAAUGCGUAGAUAUAGGAAGGAACACCAGUGGCGAAGGCGACCACCUGGACUGAUACUGACACUGAGGUGCGAAAGCGUGGGGAGCAAACAGGAUUAGAUACCCUGGUAGUCCACGCCGUAAACGAUGUCCACUACCCCGUUGGAGUCCUUGAGAUUUUAGUGGCGCAUCUAACGCAUUAAGUUGACCGCCUCGGCGAGUACGGCCGCAAGGUUAAAACUCAAAUGAAUUGACGGGGGCCCGCACAAGCGGUGGAGCAUGUUGUUUAAUUUUUAAACAACACCCAACAACCUUUACUUUGCCCUGGACAUGCAGAAAAACUUUCC
Molecule: ribosomal RNA, 875 nt
Filed under: Pseudomonas putida
Lineage: Bacteria; Pseudomonadati; Pseudomonadota; Gammaproteobacteria; Pseudomonadales; Pseudomonadaceae
Description: bacterial SSU rRNA
Rfam family: Bacterial small subunit ribosomal RNA
Source: RNAcentral